AACCCAAACCCCACCCCAACCACAAAUCACUCUGAAGCUAAUGUGUGAAUGUCGCUUCGGUGGCUUCACUCUUAACUAAAGACAACUCUCAACAACGGAUAUCUUGGCUCCCGUAUCGAUGAAGAACGCAGCGAAAUGCGAUACGUAGUGUGAAUUGCAGAAUUCCGUGAACCAUCGAAUCCUUGAACGCAAAUUGCGCCCGAGGCUUCGGCCGAGGGCAUGUCUGCCUCAGCGUCGGCUUACACCCUCGCUCCCUCUCCCAUGUGGAGUGGGCAGCGGAUCUGACCUUCCCGGCUCCGUUUCUUAGGAAGCGUCCGGGUCGGUUGAAGUGUAGAGGCUUGAGCAUGGACCCCGUUUGUAGGGCAAUGGCUUGGUAGGUAGCAUCGCUACACAACCUGCCGUCGUCCGAGGGGUUUUUGCUGGCGGCCCAGCAGGAAUUCGGUGGAUGGGUUCCCUGUCCCCGAAUGCUUCACUUUUCGACCUGAGCUCAGGCAAGACUACCCGCUGAACUUAAGCAUAUCAAUAAGCGGAGGA
Molecule: ribosomal RNA, 534 nt
Filed under: Micractinium sp. KAERI-NJ7
Lineage: Eukaryota; Viridiplantae; Chlorophyta; Trebouxiophyceae; Chlorellales; Chlorellaceae
Description: eukaryotic LSU rRNA
Rfam family: 5.8S ribosomal RNA (bases 84-237)
Source: RNAcentral